CACGCCGUAAACGAUGCAUACUAGAUUCGGGAGGUUCUGAUACCAUCCGAAUCGUAGCAAAAGUGCUAAGUAUGCCGCCUGGGGAGUACGGUCGCAAGGCUAAAACUCAAAGGAAUUGACGGGGGCUCACACAAGCGGUGGAGCAUGUGGCUUAAUUCGAAGCAACGCGAAGAACCUUAUCCUGGGCUUGACAUGCAUGGAUUAACCCUCCGAAAAGAGGGCCACGCUCGCAAGAGUGGAACAUGCACAGGUGC
This 254-nucleotide ribosomal RNA is filed under the name uncultured Schlesneria sp. RNAcentral's name for it is "partial 16S ribosomal RNA". It matches the Rfam family "Bacterial small subunit ribosomal RNA", at positions 796 to 1041 of the family's 1533-position model. Lineage: Bacteria; Pseudomonadati; Planctomycetota; Planctomycetia; Planctomycetales; Planctomycetaceae. The record is from RNAcentral.